RNAcentral lists this ribosomal RNA (455 nucleotides) under uncultured bacterium. RNAcentral describes it as "bacterial SSU rRNA". It matches the Rfam family "Bacterial small subunit ribosomal RNA", at positions 29 to 524 of the family's 1533-position model. The record is from RNAcentral.
AACGAACGCUGGCGGCAUGCCUAACACAUGCAAGUCGAACGCGUGUAGCAAUACACGAGUGGCGCACGGGUGAGUAACGCGUGGGAACCUGCCCUGGGGGUGCGGGAUAACCCGGCGAAAGCCGGGGCUAAUACCGCAUACGACCUUUGGGUGAAAGAUUUAUCGCCCUAGGAGGGGCCCGCGUCGGAUUAGCUAGUUGGUGAGGUAACGGCUCACCAAGGCGAUGAUCCGUAGCUGGUCUGAGAGGAUGAUCAGCCACACUGGGACUGAGACACGGCCCAGACUCCUACGGGAGGCAGCAGUGGGGAAUAUUGGACAAUGGGGGGCAACUCUGAUCCAGCAAUGCCGCGUGAGUGAUGAAGGCCUUAGGGUUGUAAAGCUCUUUCGGCGGGGACGAUGAUGACGGUACCCGCAGAAGAAGCCCCGGCUAACUUCGUGCCAGCAGCCGCGGUAAU